UAAAGGGAAAUGAGUUUGAACUG
RNAcentral lists this non-coding RNA (23 nucleotides) under Cricetulus griseus (Chinese hamster). The record is from RNAcentral. Lineage: Eukaryota; Metazoa; Chordata; Mammalia; Rodentia; Cricetidae.